AUGGGGUUUUUGAACCCUGACCCUCCUGACACGCCAGCCCUGGCCCUGGCCUUCUCUCCUCUCCUCUCCUCUCCACUGGGAGAUGAGAAGGUGCCAGCAUCCACCUCACAGGCCAUCGUGAGAACCCGGGACUCAGGGUUUGUGUUCCUCUUGCAGGUGGCGCCGCAGAUGUGGGGGCCUGACGAUAUAUACACACUGCAGGCUGCCAGUGUCGGGGUAAUCCAGUUUUCGUCAAAAGGUGGGAUUUGCUUUGCUCCCCUGCGGACCAGGUGCGGUGCUGCUGUUGCAGCAGGACCGUCUAUCCCAGGAAUGCCAAACCCCACUGGCUUUCACCCGACGCUGUCGUAGGUGACGCCGUAUGGAAAUGAGGACCCAUGUGCCGCAUACCUGAGCCCCCAGUACCCGUCUCCCUCGAGGGCCGUGGCCGAGCCCUCCUGAUUUCGCUGGGUUGCCAGCCUGGGGAUCUGUAAGCCCAGCGACGCCUGCGGUCUCGGCCCCCCUCCCCGUGGGGACAGGAGGUGGCUUCCGGAGGCUGGUGAUGAAUGCCUGAAUGAAGCCGACUUGUGACUGCAGUUCUGUCUAAGGGCCUCCCCGGGUGUUAGAUGUCAGUAAAUGACACCUGUGUGUGUGGAUCUCAUGUGAUGAGAGAAAGAGUGGGGGAAACCAAAGCUUGUGGAGUCUGCAGGUUCUGGACUUGGGGAUGUGUGCACCUGUGUACUUGGUGAGGGGUGUGAGGUCUGGAAUGAGUGUGCACGUGUGUCACGUUUGUGCGUGUGUGGUGAGUGUAUUUAGCAGGUGUGUGUGGAGUGAGCAUGUUCAUGCGUGUGUCGUGUAUAUUGGAGGGUGUGUGGAGUGUGUACACGCAUCACAUUUGGUGAGUGUAUUUGAGGGUGUGUAUGGAGUGCAUAGAUGCGUUUGCGUGUAUAGUAUCGGGUGAAGGGGUGGCAUGUGUGGAGUAAGCAUGCACACGUGUGUGCUGUGUGUGGGGUUUCUGCCUGGUCCUCCCCUGAGCCUGCUCCUGGGCCCUGCUGUCCUGGCAGCUUUACAGUUUGGUGUGUCUUUGAUUCCGGAAGAUUCUGGAACCCGACUCUGAAGCUGUGAUCGCAAACUUGCAGCCCUUGGAGGACGCUGGCCCGUGGAGCCGGCACGAGGAUCUCUGGGCUGGGCUGGGCUGGGCUCCUCUGUCCACAGCAGAGCGUGUCCGAUGAUUGAGCUGUGCGGGUCUGUGGCUCCCCAGCCUCGAGUCAGCCCUCGGUUCUGGUCCCGCCUCUGUUUUUCUUGCUGAGGGGCUCCGGGAAGUGGUGCCUGGGAUGACGUUUUCACCCUGGGGUUGCUUCGCCUGCUGCCCAGGUGCUGGCUGCCUGAGCCCUGCUGCCGUCCUGGGUGGACGGGGCUGGCGCGGGGACAUCCCUGAGCACCUGCGGGAAGGCAGGUUUAGGAAGUGCCAGAGGUGAGUGGCUUCCUCCCAGACUUGAUUUUCUGGAAAGUUCUGGGCCUCAUAUUUUUCCCUAAGGGAAGUUAGGAACUGAGUUUCUCUUCAGGGGAACGUCUUUGCAGCGUCUGUUGUUAGAAUGUUCUCCAGGUGUGGAAUACCCGGGGCCGUGUGUGUUUGGGAACAUCCGUGUCCUGAGCCAAUUCAGUGGGGAAUGGAGAGAGGCCUCCCUCCUGUCAGCUUGGCCUCUGUUUCCGGCUUGCGAGUUGUGAGGGUUGGCGGCUGCUGGUAUCCCAGGGAGAGGGAAACACUGGGUGGCGUGGGAUGGGAACGUUCGCUCUGACCAGGUCAGUGGGAAAGCGUCUAAGCAAACGUCGCUGUUGUCCGGGCUCCUCGGGGUCGAGCUUGUUUUGUGGUGUUGAGGGAAAAGCUACCCUUGUUCCUGUUCCUCACCAUUUGAAUGGUGUCCAGGGCUUGUUCCGCCGGAGAGGUGAUGCGCGUGAAUGGGGGUCAGGUCGCAGGCUCCGAGGUUAUUUGGAAUCUGUCAACGGACUUCCUAAACACACCGGUGCUUGGUAAAGAGAUGUUCCUGAUUGGCUAAAACAUCUCAACAGGACGUGAUAGCUGGUGGUGGUUUAAAGACUACCACAAUUUUCCUGUUACUUUUUAAAUGCCUGUUGAAUAGGGGAGGAUUCACAUAGUUUUCUUUUCCCGUCUGCGUACUUGAUACUUUGUUUGUUUGUGUUUUUAUGUGGGUGUGCAGUUAACAGGAUUUCGAAGCAGUCUCAGCCCUGGGGAGACUUCAGGGCAGCCUCAGUCAGCGCUGAAGGGAGGCAGGGAUUUGGGGGCUACCUCCUCCACAGGACGCGGACACCAAGGGCCAGAGGUCAGCAAUCUCAGUGAGGUGACACAGACGGGCACACCCAGCACCCUGGCCCCUGUGCCUCUCCUUCACGUUUGUCUCUGCUCCAAGCUGCUCUCCUGGGUCAUCACGGGUGAUCUCUAGGCGCGUGCUUGGUUCUUGCAGAAGUGGUGUCUGGCUGUGGUCAGUGGGGGCUCUCGGGACUUCCAUGUUUUUGGCUCCCGUCAAUAUUGGGCAGUGUGGUGUAUGUUUGUUUUGGAGUGGUAGAUCCGGGUGGAUUUUGGCUUUGCCAACUCAUUUAAUACGUGUUUCUCCUGUUUCUGUAUCGGGUGUUCUCUGGUUAGAAAGGGGGAUGACGGUGGUGGAACGGCUUCUGGCUGUUGAGCCCCUGCUGAGAGCUGUUUGGCGUGCACAGAUCCGUUUCGGCACAAUCUCUAUGAGCAGCCCUGGGCAGUGCAGAAAGCGAGGCCCAGGUGAGGCUGUCGGACACAGGAGCGCCCUGACCUGUGUGCUUUCAGCCUCUGAGCCGCCCCUCUCCUGACUGCUUACCAAGCUGUAUCGAUACUGAAAUCUGAGCAUUGAAAAGUCACCAGGGGAAUGCCAUUUCCAGGGAUCUUACUGUGAACCUUCUGUUAAAGGUUCCAUGUCGAAUAAUGAAUUGCCUUUGAAUGCAGGUACCAAACAGGCUCCCUGGGAUAACUCAUUCCAUAGACACUUUUUAAAAUAAUGUUCCCAACUAGCUAUCCUUUACAUUCUUUCUACUUAAGAGGUGCUCUGCUCUCCUGUGCGCUUUAGUGAUAUGCCGUGUUUGCUUUGCGUGCCUUGGGUUUUCAGAAGAAAACCGUGUUUGCAGGUACACUUGGAGUACAACAUUCUUCUUCCUAUUAGUGUAGAUGCUCCAUGAGAGGAGAUAUGCUCAUGCAUUUCUGUGUGUUUUGUGGGGAAUAAAAGUAGUCGCCGGCUCUAGCAAACCUAGAAGAUGCCCAAAAGGUGAUACACGUGAAAAUACGCGGCCACUGCCAUAAAUCGCCUUGUAUUAUGUGUGGCAAAGUGCUGUGUGUGUGCUGUCUAUGGAGAAAAUGAGUCUUCCCUCUUUUCCCAAGAGGUAACAGUUGAAUAGACUUCAGAAGUUGUCUUAUUUGCAAAUGGUACCCUCCUUCCAUUGUUUUGAGACGUCGUCAUAGGAACUCACACAUGGAAUUGUUUUCUCAGUUAGAACCUCCAGGUUUUGUCAUAGUCCCUUUGUGUCAUUACAGCGUCUGGUUCCACUUUAUUUAAAGCAGGAAGAGGCCAGCCACGUGGCCUCGCUGGUGCUUCCCAAGCACAGGGUGUCAUAAGGGGCGUGAGCACUUGGUUGGGAGACGUGCUGUUCUUCCUGAUAGAAACCCUAUGGUGCCAUUCGCUAGUCCCCUGCGGUGUUUCUUCCACCCUAAAUGCAGCCAGUUUCUGUUGGUUUGUAUUUUCCGAGACAGGGUCUUGCUCUGUCACCCAGGCUGGCAUGCGGUGGCGUGAUCCCUGGCUCAGGCGAUCCUCCCACCUCAGUCACCCGAGCAGCUGGGACCUCGGGCGCGCACCAGCAUGCCUGGCUAAUUUUCUUUUCUCUGUUGCAGGGAUGGGGUCUUGUUGUGUUGCCCAGGUGUGGCUCUGUUUUCUGUUGAGUGUACAGUGGGUUUUUAUGGGGAACCUCUGUAUUUGGGUCGGGGGUGUGGCAUCCUGGUCAGGAAAUGGCCCUCAGGCUUCCUUCCUGCCCAGCAGGGUCACGAGUGGUGUCUCCACCUGGGCUGGUGUGUGUGCUGGCCAGUAGGGCUUAGUCCUGGACUGCAGACUGGUACUGGUCCAUGGUCUGUUAGGAACCGGGGUCAUAGCCGGAGGUGAGUGGCGGGCGAAGUAGGCAUGACCGCCUGAGCUCUGCCUCCUCUUGGAUCAGCGGCAGCAUUUAGAUUCUCCUAGGCGCUGGGACCCUCUCGUAAGCCGCGUGUUCUCCUAGGCGCUGGGACCCUAUUGUAAACGGCAUGUGAGGGAUCUCGGAGGUGCUCCUUAUGAGGAUCCAAUGCCUGACCUGAGGUGGAACAGUUGCAUUUCAAAACCACCCCUCAGAAAAAUGGUCUUCCACGAUACCCAUCCCUGGUGCCAAGAAGGCUGGGGGACAGCUGGCCUAACGCGUGGAUGAUGUCAGUAGAUUUUUGGACCUCGGGCCGCAGUUGGAGAGGAUUAGAUUUUGAAAGGUGGGGGAUUGAAGGCUUCUAAAGGGCAGGUUUCAUCUCCAGUGGGGCCUGGGCAGAACUGGGUAGAACUGACCCAGAACCUGAUGAUU
RNAcentral lists this long non-coding RNA (4608 nucleotides) under Macaca mulatta (Rhesus monkey). RNAcentral describes it as "lncRNA (ENSMMUG00000054079.1)". The record is from RNAcentral. Lineage: Eukaryota; Metazoa; Chordata; Mammalia; Primates; Cercopithecidae.